This 253-nucleotide ribosomal RNA is filed under the name uncultured bacterium. RNAcentral's name for it is "partial 16S ribosomal RNA". It matches the Rfam family "Bacterial small subunit ribosomal RNA", at positions 524 to 776 of the family's 1533-position model. The record is from RNAcentral.
UACGGGGGGGGCAAGCGUUGUUCGGAAUAACUGGGCUUAAAGGGAGCGUAGGCGGGCUAACAAGUCUGGGGUGAAAUCCCGCGGCUCAACCGUGGAACUGCCUCAGAUACUGUCGGCCUCGAGGGAGAUAGGGGCAUGCGGAACUAACGGUGGAGCGGUGAAAUGCGUUGAUAUCGUUAGGAACUCCGGUGGCGAAAGCGGCGUGCUGGAUCUCUUCUGACGCUGAGGCUCGAAAGCUAGGGGAGCAAACGGG